This 335-nucleotide unclassified non-coding RNA is filed under the name uncultured fungus. RNAcentral describes it as "partial contains 5.8S ribosomal RNA and internal transcribed spacer 2". The stretch from base 1 to 133 matches the Rfam family "5.8S ribosomal RNA", at positions 22 to 154 of the family's 154-position model. Lineage: Eukaryota; Fungi. The record is from RNAcentral.
UGGUUCUGGCAUCGAUGAAGAACGCAGCGAAAUGCGAUAAGUAAUGUGAAUUGCAGAAUUUAGUGAAUCAUCGAAUCUUUGAACGCACAUUGCGCCCCCUGGUAUUCCGGAGGGCAUGUUCGUUUGAGCGUCAUUAAAAACCUUCAAGCCCAGCUUGGCUGUGGACGUCUCGUCCGGGGAGCGGACGCGUCCUAAACCCAUCAAGCGGCGGCGUCGAGCCCCGAGCGUAGUAGAAUCUAGCCGCUCCGGCCGGCCUCGCGCGUCGCCCGCUUACAAUCCAGAAAUUAGCUUUCAUUUCAAGGAUUGACCUCAAAUCGAACAGGAAAACCCGCUGA